GCCUGUGUAGCUCAGUAGGUAGAGCACUUGCAUGGUAAGCAAGGGGUCGCUGGUUCAAAUCCGGUCAUAGGCUCCA
RNAcentral lists this transfer RNA (76 nucleotides) under Andreesenia angusta. RNAcentral's name for it is "tRNA-Thr". It matches the Rfam family "tRNA". From Rfam's summary of the family: Transfer RNA (tRNA) molecules are approximately 80 nucleotides in length. Their secondary structure includes four short double-helical elements and three loops (D, anti-codon, and T loops). Further hydrogen bonds mediate the characteristic L-shaped molecular structure. tRNAs have two regions of fundamental functional importance: the anti-codon, which is responsible for specific mRNA codon recognition, and the 3' end, to which the tRNAs corresponding amino acid is attached (by aminoacyl-tRNA synthetases). tRNAs cope with the degeneracy of the genetic code in two manners: having more than one tRNA (with a specific anti-codon) for a particular amino acid; and 'wobble' base-pairing, i.e. permitting non-standard base-pairing at the 3rd anti-codon position. The record is from RNAcentral. Lineage: Bacteria; Bacillati; Bacillota; Tissierellia; Tissierellales; Gottschalkiaceae.